GCCAUUUUCUAAGGGCAU
RNAcentral lists this transfer RNA (18 nucleotides) under Loxodonta africana (African savanna elephant). RNAcentral describes it as "partial tRNA-Thr". The record is from RNAcentral. Lineage: Eukaryota; Metazoa; Chordata; Mammalia; Proboscidea; Elephantidae.